AAUACCGCAUAAGCGCACAGCUUCGCAUGAAGCAGUGUGAAAAACUCCGGUGGUAUACGAUGGAUCCGCGUCUGAUUAGCUGGUUGGCGGGGUAAAGGCCCACCAAGGCGACGAUCAGUAGCCGGCCUGAGAGGGUGAACGGCCACAUUGGGACUGAGACACGGCCCAAACUCCUACGGGAGGCAGCAGUGGGGAAUAUUGCACAAUGGGGGAAACCCUGAUGCAGCGACGCCGCGUGAGUGAAGAAGUAUUUCGGUAUGUAAAGCUCUAUCAGCAGGGAAGAAAUAAAGUCCUUCGGACUUUGGACGGUACCUGACUAAGAAGCCCCGGCUAACUACGUGCCAGCAGCCGCGGUAAUACGUAGGGGGCAAGCGUUAUCCGGAUUUACUGGGUGUAAAGGGAGCGUAGACGGCAGCGCAAGUCUGGAGUGAAAUCCCAUGGCUUAACCAUGGAACUGCUUUGGAAACUGUGCAGCUAGAGUGCAGGAGAGGUAAGCGGAAUUCCUAGUGUAGCGGUGAAAUGCGUAGAUAUUAGGAGGAACACCAGUGGCGAAGGCGGCUUACUGGACUGUAACUGACGUUGAGGCUCGAAAGCGUGGGGAGCAAACAGGAUUAGAUACCCUGGUAGUCCACGCUGUAAACGAUGAUUACUAGGUGUUGGGGGACCAAGGUCCUUCGGUGCCGGCGC
RNAcentral lists this ribosomal RNA (687 nucleotides) under uncultured bacterium. RNAcentral describes it as "bacterial SSU rRNA". It matches the Rfam family "Bacterial small subunit ribosomal RNA", at positions 165 to 852 of the family's 1533-position model. The record is from RNAcentral.